Long non-coding RNA from Corythoichthys intestinalis (scribbled pipefish), 960 nucleotides. RefSeq lists it as uncharacterized. The record is from RefSeq and is a predicted model, not a curated record. The transcript is spliced from 3 exons. Lineage: Eukaryota; Metazoa; Chordata; Actinopteri; Syngnathiformes; Syngnathidae.
UUUGAUAAGUGAACUAAACUCAGUUUUCAUCAACCUGUUGUGAACACUACUUUUAAAUAAGUAAGUAGUAAUUUGGGGUUGGAGAACUUGCUUAACUUGAUAUAUCCCAGUUAAGUCAAAUUAGAAAAAAUAAUUUAUUGUACCCAGUGUCCUUUGCGCGUUCUAUCAGACAUGCGCAGAUCUGCCCUGCCUACUUUCGCGCUCUUUCCAACACCUUUCUCAUUUAUUUUCGCCAUUGUGGGUUUAUUUGUCCUCAGCACACUGAUUUGGCUGAAGCAAAUGGUCAGAAGUCCACACAUACCUCAGUCUCUGCAAUUACAGGUCAACCAGAGCAGUAUUCUCUAAUGCAGUGGACUUGUAAGUACUGCACAUUUUCUGCUGGAAAGAGAGGCUACUUGCUUAAGCAUUACCGCUUAAAACAUGGAUACCACACUCGGACAUCCCUACUCCCCAUGUCUUCAUAAGGACUGCCUCUGCACAUUUAAAUCUUUUAAUGCACUCAAAGUACACCUAUCGACAUGCCACUCUCAAAAAGAUGCAGACAAAAGUGGAGAAACUGCAUUUGACUGUCAGUUGUGCAACUUUGUGGAGCCAUGUUAAGAAGCAGACUUCUUUACCCAUUUGCGAAGACAUCUUAAGCUGAGGCAAAUGGUUACUUGCAUAUAUCAAGACUGUAACUUUCAGAGCACUGUUUAUUCUACCUUCACUGCACACAAAAGCAGAAAUGUGAAAUGAGUUUGAACCAUAGUAUGGGUAGGACAUUUGUGUCUAAAUCAUUCAAUCCCAAUAAAAGUUGCUUCAAUCAAAAAAAAUAUUUUUAAUGAAAGAAAAAGAACCUCUUGCUAAAAUGUUUUUUUGAAAAUAUAUAUUUUUUGAAAUAUAUAUAUUUUUUUAUUGACGUGUCACUUUUUUUGCAAAGCAUGAAGUUUUAAACUUUUUUUUUUUUAAAGUGGAAAAAGU